Molecule: ribosomal RNA, 429 nt
Filed under: Chloroflexota bacterium
Lineage: Bacteria; Bacillati; Chloroflexota
Also listed under: 1 other name
Description: Chloroflexi bacterium partial 16S ribosomal RNA
Rfam family: Bacterial small subunit ribosomal RNA
Source: RNAcentral
UAGGGAAUCUUCGGCAAUGGACGAAAGUCUGACCGAGCAACGCCGCGUGAGUGAAGAAGGUUUUCGGAUCGUAAAACUCUGUUGUUAGAGAAGAACAAGGACGUUAGUAACUGAACGUCCCCUGACGGUAUCUAACCAGAAAGCCACGGCUAACUACGUGCCAGCAGCCGCGGUAAUACGUAGGUGGCAAGCGUUGUCCGGAUUUAUUGGGCGUAAAGCGAGCGCAGGCGGUUUCUUAAGUCUGAUGUGAAAGCCCCCGGCUCAACCGGGGAGGGUCAUUGGAAACUGGGAGACUUGAGUGCAGAAGAGGAGAGUGGAAUUCCAUGUGUAGCGGUGAAAUGCGUAGAUAUAUGGAGGAACACCAGUGGCGAAGGCGGCUCUCUGGUCUGUAACUGACGCUGAGGCUCCAAAGCGUGGGGAGCAAACAGG